Molecule: ribosomal RNA, 404 nt
Filed under: uncultured bacterium
Lineage: Bacteria
Description: bacterial SSU rRNA
Rfam family: Bacterial small subunit ribosomal RNA
Source: RNAcentral
UGGGGAAUAUUGGACAAUGGGCGCAAGCCUGAUCCAGCCAUGCCGCGUGAGUGAUGAAGGCCUUAGGGUUGUAAAGCUCUUUUAGCAGGGAAGAUAAUGACGGUACCUGCAGAAAAAGCCCCGGCUAACUUCGUGCCAGCAGCCGCGGUAAUACGAAGGGGGCUAGCGUUGCUCGGAAUUACUGGUCGUAAAGCGCACGUAGGCGGCUUCUUAAGUCGGUGGUGAAAUCCUGGAGCUCAACUUCAGAACUGCCUUCGAUACUGGGAAGCUCGAGUUCGGGAGAGGUGAGUGGAACUGCGAGUGUAGAGGUGAAAUUCGUAGAUAUUCGCAAGAACACCAGUGGCGAAGGCGGCUCACUGGCCCGAUACUGACGCUGAGGUGCGAAAGCGUGGGGAGCAAACAGG